Molecule: non-coding RNA, 115 nt
Organism: Acanthosepion pharaonis
Lineage: Eukaryota; Metazoa; Mollusca; Cephalopoda; Sepiida; Sepiidae
Source: the annotation of a GenBank genome assembly
CUUGUGGCCAUAUCAAGUUGAAACACAAGUUCUUGUCCAAUCACCAAAGUUAAGCAACGUCGAGCCUGGCCAGUACCUAUAUUGGUGACCGCUUGAGAAUACCAGGUGCUGUAAG